Molecule: long non-coding RNA, 2514 nt
Filed under: Salvia miltiorrhiza (redroot sage)
Lineage: Eukaryota; Viridiplantae; Streptophyta; Magnoliopsida; Lamiales; Lamiaceae
Description: long non-coding RNA (SMIL_LNC005269)
Source: RNAcentral
UCAAUUUCACCGUUUCCAAGCUGACCAAGCUCGAGCAUUUCAGGUUCGUGGUGCUGAAUCCGAUCCCGGACAAAGGGAUUGAAGUUGAGUCGGCUGAGAGCUUCUUCCCGAGAACACUGACAAGGGUGACUCUGAGUGGCACUGGACUUCCAUGGGAAUACAUGAAAUUCGUUGCUAAGGAAUUGAAGGGUAUUGAGGUGCUGAAGCUCAAGGAGCUGGCCUUCAAUGGGCCGGAGUGGUGCCCCGACUGUCAGAUGAAGGAACUCAAGUACCUAUUGAUUGAAUACCUGAAUUUCCAAAAGUGGGAAGCAACUAAUUCCCAUUUCCCCAAACUCCAACGGUUGAUUAUGAGGCAUUGCUACGAGUUGGAGAAGCUUCCUGAUGAUAUUGUAUACAUUGGACCCCUUGUGGCGAUGGAGAUGGUGGACUGCAGCCCUCAAGCUGUGUCUUCCGCAGAGGAUAUUAUAGAUAAGGCGGAGUCCUUUAAUGAAGGCUUUGAAGGUCGCAUCUUUUCUUCAUGGGAAUAGAUACGGUAUGCAACUUCCUAUGUUUUAUAUUAACAGGACUCUGCGUGUGUGUUUGGGUUCUGUAUGCAUCAAUCUUCACUCUUAACGACUUCUCAUUAAAUCUUCAUCAAAAAACAAGAGUAAAUANGUCAGAUGAAGGAACUCAAGUACCUAUUGAUUGAAUACCUGAAUUUCCAAAAGUGGGAAUUAACUAAUUCCCAUUUCCCGAAACUCCAACGGCUGAUUAUGAGGCAUUGCUACGAGUUGGAGAAGCUUCCUGAAGAUAUUGUAUACAUUGGACCCCUUGUGGCGAUGGAGAUGGUGGACUGCAGCCCUCAAGCUGUGUCUUCCGCCGAGGAUAUUAUAAUGGUGGCGGAACGCGAUGACAAGCAGGGGUUUGAAGGUCGCAUCUUUUCUUCAUGGGAAUAGAUACGGUAUGCAACUUCCUAUAUAUUAGCUAUGUUUUAUAUUAACAGGGCUGUGCGUGUGUGUUUGAGUUCUGUAUGCAUCAAUCUUCACUCUUAACGACUUCUCAUUAAAUCUUCAUCAAAAAACAAGAGUAAAUAAAUUUGAUUGGUAAAGAUUUCAUGACAACUUUAGAGCAUCCGCAAUGGGGUUAUUUGAUAGCCUACUUGUGUUAUUGAGUAGGUAGUGCUGCAUUGGGGUUCCUUGAUAGCCUACUUGAUUUUUUUAGUUUUUAAAGAGGAGAGAGAAAUUUUUAAAGAAGAUAAGAGAAUUAAAAAAAAAAAAANAGAAAUUGCACUCGGGCAUACUCGAUAACUCGAGUAGCAUUCACUUGCAACGGCUACUCGAGUGCAAUACUCGAGUUCGAGUAAGCUAUCGAGGAUAGCGUUACUCAUGCUCUUAAUCUUGCUUGUGAAAACUUCAUGAAAAUAUCCGUGCAUAGAGAAGUUCUUAAUUUUAGAUAAUUUUAGCUAAUGGAGAUUCUUUUUUCUUCCCUUUUUCCUUCGAGUAGUUUUUAGGAUUGAAAUUAUCACCCUUAUCUAUGGAAUUAAAAGCACCACCUGCAAACUGCAUUGUAUUUGGCUAAGCUUAUUUUCAAGAGUUUAUAAGUUUCAAUAACUUAUAAGAGGUUUUAAAAGUUUAUAAAAUGUAAUGUUUUCGAUGGUUUUUAAAUUGUUAAAGUGUUUGAAUAAUUAAACUAGAGAGAAAAUUGUGAGUUAAAAAGAGAAAAUAUUAGUUAGAGAGAGAAAAAUGAAAAUAGAUAAAUUAGAUAUAUAACGAAAAUAAUUAAUCAUAUAUAGUAUAGUUAUUUUUGUACAAUUAGGUUGUCUAUAAGAUUAUGAAAGAAAUAAGUUGAGAUUGAGAAAAACUUAUUUUUUGAGAGAUUAAAAGUUGUUGGAACUUAUUUUUUCAACUUAUAAGUUGUUUAAAAAUUUAUUUUAUCAAAUACUAUGUUUUAAGAAUUUAUAAGUUUCUAAUUACAACUUAUACACUAUUUUAAGGAGCUUGACAAUAAAGCACUAUUCAGUUGGUAAGACGCUUAUCCUCUAAUCAAUAUGUCAGGAGUUCGAGUUACCACGGGGGCAUCAACCAUUAUUGAUCUUACUUAAAAAAAAAAACUAUUUUAAGGAGCUUAUAAGCUCAACCAAACAUUCUAUAAGAGUAAGUGAAUAUAUUUGUGUUAUUGCGUAGAAAUUCACCUACUCUUCUCUUUUUUUGUUAUUGCAGAAUGCUUAACAGAAAACUUGGUUAUGAUUGGGGAUCGACUGUUGUUUCAUUUCUUUGCGGCGUUUUGUUUUGAUGAUGUAAAAUCCUGAUGGUGGUUUGUCUCCCUUAUGUUUGAAACUUAAAUAAAUGUGUUCCUGCCAUUGUUCUUUCUUGCCAUGUAGAUGUAUUGAGGGAUUUUAUGGGACUACCAAGAACUUGUUGCACUUCAUUCGCAUUAUUCUAUUGAAGUAUGGCAUAUCUUUUCGGAUGUGAUCCUUUGUACUAUAAGGGACCGUUUGGUUCUGGCAUAGGAAAAUAGAAAGGAAUUCAAAACGAG